Molecule: ribosomal RNA, 1042 nt
Filed under: Amolops shuichengicus
Lineage: Eukaryota; Metazoa; Chordata; Amphibia; Anura; Ranidae
Description: partial large subunit ribosomal RNA
Rfam family: Bacterial large subunit ribosomal RNA
Source: RNAcentral
UUAGCUCUACCUUAAUUUUUUUAUUACACCAAACAAAACACUAAAUUUAAGAGCUAUUCAAAUAAGGCACAGCUUAUUUGAAACGGGGUACAACCCCUAAUACCGGGUUAAUCUAGAUGUAACAAAUAAAGUGGGCCUAAAAGCAGCCAUCUUCCAAAAAGCGUUAAAGCUUAACACAUCACUAUCUACAAUUCCACAAUUUUUACUUAACCCUUUAUCACUACUGAACUAUUUUAUACCCCUAUAAAAGUCAUUAUGCUAGAACUAGUAACAAGAAAUUGCCCUUCUCCAAAAUGUAUGUUUAAACCAAAAUGGACCCUCCACUGGUAGUUAACGUAAAUGUAAAAACCAUAGUACCACACAACUAGAAAAUCCUACGGCUCACUAACGUCAACCUUACACUAGAACAUUACAGGAAAGAUUAAAAGAGAAAGAAGGAACUCGGCAAAUCACAGUCCCGCCUGUUUACCAAAAACACCGCCUCUUGCCCAAAUAUAAGAGGUCCAGCCUGCCCAGUGACAUAGUUUAACGGCCGCGGUACCCUAACCGUGCAAAGGUAGCAUAAUCACUUGUUCUUUAAAUAAGGACUCGUAUCAACGGCAUCACGAGGGCUGUACUGUCUCCUUUCUCCAAUCAGUGAAACUGAUCUCCCCGUGAAGAAGCGGGGAUUGACCUAUAAGACGAGAAGACCCCAUGGAGCUUUAAACCCAACACACACCUCUACGCACCCAAAUCAAUACAGCCCAAGAGACUUGUGUGUUGGUUUUAGGUUGGGGGGACCGCGGAGUAAAAUCAAACCUCCAUGACAGACGGGCUAGCACCCUUAUCCACGAACCACAAUUCUAAGAGCCAAUAAAUUGUUGUCUAAUGACCCAAUUACUUGAUCAACGAACCAAGUUACCCUGGGGAUAACAGCGCAAUCUACUUCAAGAGCCCCUAUCGACAAGUAGGUUUACGACCUCGAUGUUGGAUCAGGGUAUCCUAGUGGUGCAGCCGCUACUAAAGGUUCGUUUGUUCAACGAUUAAAACCCUACGUGAUCUG